CAGCAUGGUCUUAGCUUGCUAAGACUGAUGGCGACCGGCGCACGGGUGAGUAACGCGUAUCCAACCUGCCGAUGACUCGGGGAUAGCCUUUCGAAAGAAAGAUUAAUACCCGAUGGCAUAAUUCUUCCGCAUGGUAGAAUUAUUAAAGAAUUUCGGUCAUCGAUGGGGAUGCGUUCCAUUAGGCAGUUGGUGAGGUAACGGCUCACCAAACCUUCGAUGGAUAGGGGUUCUGAGAGGAAGGUCCCCACAUUGGAACUGAGACACGGUCCAAACUCC
Molecule: ribosomal RNA, 276 nt
Filed under: uncultured Bacteroides sp.
Lineage: Bacteria; Pseudomonadati; Bacteroidota; Bacteroidia; Bacteroidales; Bacteroidaceae
Description: partial 16S ribosomal RNA
Rfam family: Bacterial small subunit ribosomal RNA
Source: RNAcentral